This 427-nucleotide ribosomal RNA is filed under the name uncultured bacterium. RNAcentral describes it as "bacterial SSU rRNA". It matches the Rfam family "Bacterial small subunit ribosomal RNA", at positions 355 to 775 of the family's 1533-position model. The record is from RNAcentral.
CCGAGAAUUUUUCACAAUGGGGGAAACCCUGAUGGAGCGACGCCGCGUGGGGGAUGAAUGGCUUCGGCCCGUAAACCCCUGUCAUUUGCGAGCAAAGCGCAUUAUUUAAAAGAUGAUGUGUUGAUAGUAGCGGAAGAGGAAGGGACGGCUAACUCUGUGCCAGCAGCCGCGGUAAUACAGAGGUCCCGAGCGUUGUUCGGAUUCACUGGGCGUAAAGGGUGCGUAGGUGGUGAGGUGUGUCGGAUGUGAAAUCUCGGAGCUCAACUCCGAAACUGCAUUGGAGACUACCUUGCUGGAGGGUUGGAGGGGGGACGGGAAUACUUGGUGUAGCAGUGAAAUGCGUAGAUAUCAAGUGGAACACCAGUGGCGAAGGCGAGUCCCUGGACAACUCCUGACACUGAGGCACGAAAGCUAGGGGAGCAAACAG